UUCAAAAAGUCUAGAAAAUAACAGAAUCUAACAUAACAAAACUGUUCAAAUUAUCUUUAGACUUAUUUUUUGUAUUGGCUUGUGUUUUUGUUGUUGUUUUUAAAAACUCCUUCCUGGUUUAUAUGCUGCCUUAAUUCAAUAUAUAAGGCCAUGAAGUUCAGUGUUCAAGCUUUAGAACCUAGUAGUUUUGGACUGUAAUUUAUUUUCUACCACUUACAAACUGUGUAAAAUGAAUAGAGCUCAAUUUCUCCACCUGUCUAAGCCUUUGAUUUCUCAUCCAUAAAACAGGGUUGCUAGCACUUAUUUAUUUCACUAGAUUUAUUACAAGGAUUAUAUGCAAAGAAUAUUCCUUAGUUGUAUAGUAGAGUGGCUUGUACAAAGUACCAAUUCUCCAGAGCAGGGCUGAGUUAAUGGUAGCUUUUAUGAUUGUGUUUUACAGACAAAGGAAAAGCGACUCAGUGAUUUCUGCUGUGGAGAUGCUUAAAAUCAACUUGGCUCCCUACUGAAGCAGGCCAACAAUCUGUCUCUGGAAUCACUGCCUUGGUUCCAAAGGACUUCUUUUUCCCUGACCUCCAUUGUAUCCAACACCACGGGACAGUUUUUGUAAGCAGAUAAAACCAAUAAUGUACACAGGUACCAACUUGGAAAAAAAAUGGUUAAUUCAGCUUACUAAGAGCAGAAAAAAAAUUCUAAUUGAUUGCUGGUAAUUAAAAAACAAAACAGAUCAUAAAAAACUAUUACUAAAA
Oryctolagus cuniculus (rabbit) is the source of this 746-nucleotide non-coding RNA. NCBI's taxonomy places the organism in Eukaryota, Metazoa, Chordata, Mammalia, Lagomorpha, Leporidae. The record is from RefSeq and is a predicted model, not a curated record.